AUAAAACCCUAUAGAGGGAGCUGCUGCUCCAUGUACACUGUAAAGGUAGCGUCUCAAAUUGCACGCUAUUCCCUAUGUAGUGCACUACUUUUGACCAGGGCCCAUGGGCUUGAGUCCAUAGGGAACAGGGUACCUUUUCGGGACGCACACCGAGACGUACAUAUACAGAGAAACUCUGAGAUUUUCCGACUUUUUCACGGUUGCCAUGUUGGCACCUAAAAGCUCCAUGAUAUUGCAACAGGCAAAUAGCAAAUGACACCCCGUUCCACCUUUUUAUUGUGCACUACCUGGUCCAAAGUAGUACACUACAUAGGGAAUAGGGUGCCAUUUUGAGAUCUGCAUUUAUACUUUUCAUGGCUGCCAUGUUUGUGCCGGAUUGUUCCACAACAUUACCAUUCUAAUUGGAAUCCAACUAAGAAUGUUCUUGUUGCUAUAGAAUGACCCGGCGCAAACAUGGAUGACAGACAGUUGUCCGUUCUAGAACUCUGUACAUCUACGUACCUCCGGUUACAAUAUGACAUCCUAAUGACUCUGUUCCAUUGGUCGUUUAUCAAUAAAACCAGCCAACUCGAACACUCUGCACUGUAUUGUGACGUUUUGAAUUGAUAACCACCUGCAGACCUGCCUAAAUUUCCUCUUAUUACAUCAUAAACACUCUCUGUGUAGAGCGGUUUUUAUUUCUCAUGGGUCUGGUUCCAAACCAGUUACUCCUCUCCUAUCCCCUAACCCCUUGUUGAUGAAAAGAUUGAGGUUCUAUCCCCCAUAUCAGAACCUGGAUCUGAAAGGUAGGGCUGUAUGGGGAGCAUUUGAGUUGUCACCCUUUUUGAUGGUUCAAAAGUGAACAAGGGUGUAGGGGUUAGGGUAUUUAGUGUUUGGAACGGGGCUGUUCUCUCUGGCUUGCAUCUCAAAUGGCACCCUGUUCCCCGUACAGUGUUCUACUUUUACCCAGAACCCAACGGGCUCAUGUCAAAAGUAGUGCACUAAAUAAGGAAUAGGGUUGGGUUUGGGAUGCGGCCUGUCUCCGUAAUGGAAGCAUCAUGUUGAACUCUGUUGGUUCAAUCGUGUUUAUAUAAACACCUGAUCAGGCUCUGUUUUAAAAUUUAAAUCUCAUUUAUUUUGUCUUUCGAGGAGCAAAGUUGUUUUGUCUCUCUUGGGUUGCCGUAGCCUGUGGUCAAAACGGGAAUUGGAAAUGAAUUCCAAAUGGCACCCAUAUUCCCUCGUAUAGUGCCCUACUUUUGAUCAGGGCCCAUGGGGCUCCCAAUGGUAGUGCACUACAUGGGCAAUAGGGUGCCAUUUUGAGGUUCAUACUAGUCUGUCUUUAGCUCAGUGUCUAGGGGAGGUUCUAAUGAAUGGGCGGGACUUGAGGUCAGGUUGACUAAUCACAGGCCACGUGCAUGCUGGGUCAACCAAUAAGAAUUGUCCGCCGAGUGGAUUUACAUAAAUCAUUUUUUUUUGUGUGAAUUUUGAGUUGGAAAGUCCUGACAACACAAAGUAUGAAUUUCAAUACAAAAAAAAAGAUUAAUAAAGAUGAAAAACUGC
This 1539-nucleotide long non-coding RNA is filed under the name Salmo salar (Atlantic salmon). RNAcentral describes it as "lncRNA (ENSSSAG00000083575.1)". The record is from RNAcentral. Lineage: Eukaryota; Metazoa; Chordata; Actinopteri; Salmoniformes; Salmonidae.